Ctenopharyngodon idella (grass carp) is the source of this 2206-nucleotide long non-coding RNA. RefSeq lists it as uncharacterized. The transcript is spliced from 3 exons. NCBI's taxonomy places the organism in Eukaryota, Metazoa, Chordata, Actinopteri, Cypriniformes, Xenocyprididae. The record is from RefSeq and is a predicted model, not a curated record.
AAUUGAGGGAAUGAAAUAGUAAAUUGUGCGCACAAUUUAAUUUUUUUUCUUGCAUGUCAUGUGCGGGGCUCCGUACUAAUCGGACCAGGACUAAAUGGGUUUUUUUCUUCUUUGGUCCAGACCAAAUGAACCGAACUACAAGUGUGAACGCACCCUAAGAAUGUUUCAACUCUUUUUGUCCAUACAAUGAAAGUCAAUGGGGACCAAACAAUAUUGGACUCCAUUAACUUUGAUUGCAUGGAAAAAACACUGAGCUAUUCUUCAGUAUAUUUGUGUUCCACAGAAGAAAUAGUCAUAUAGGUUUGAAAUUUCAGUCUUUUCUUCACACAAAGCUAUCAUACGACUUAAGAAUAUAGUGCAUCAGUCAUAUGGACGAAUUUUAUGGUGCUUUUUGUGUUGUUUUUGUACAAUUUGAAGCCUGGUUGUCAAUGAAUGGAAAAAAUGUGAAAAAUGUGAAAAUUCACAAAAAAAAAUUCUCUUUUUGUCCUCUACAGAAGUAAAUAACACCAUACAGCAUUCUGGAAUGACAUGUGGAAGUAAAUAAAAGUGUACAGCAUUCUGAAAUUACAUGAGGGAUUGACCUGGGUCUGAUGUUGUCACCAAAUGACACAUCCAAACCUGCGCAGGGAAACGGCAAAGGCGGGGGGUCGUUUUUUCCCCUUCGCAUUUGUGACAGGAAACUGUUUACAAAUACUCCCGUGGGAUUCGGCACUAAUGAAGAGAAACCAUGACCCCGGUACGGUCAGUUUGCAGCGGGUGCAGAGUUGGAGGGCUUCCAUUGCUCCUAACAACAGCACUCCAUUUUGCUGUGCCUGAAAUGACAAGUGAAGGUCAAUCUCUUGGACGAAAAAGUAGGGGCUGCUACCGUACCAAUCUACCCUGCUCUCCCCUCCUCUUCCCACCUCGGUUUGGCAGCUCUUUGGGGUUGGUCUGUGCCACAAUCCCGCAAAAAAAGAGAGAAAAUAUCUGAGCUUAGUCAGUCCUGUGUGAGCGUGGACAAUACGCAGGGCUCUGGGCCGCUGAUCCAAGGCCAGUGGAUCCCGUUUCAAAGGCAAAUCGAGGAUGCUCCAUUUCAGACACUCUUGAAGGCAAUUAACUCUGUGUGCGAGUGGGCCAUUCAGAGGCCUGACUGUGAUUAAAUCAAUUUGAUAAUGAUACACUCGCUUGCUGCUGUUAUGAGCUGCCUGUUUGUUUUCGCUAGAGGAGUUUCAGAACACAAUCAAACUAAAUCAUUCUGACAGCACAGAAACUAGAGACCAAAAUUACUACAGGGUUUGAUUUUUAAUUGGCAGCACGCCUCUGAUUGUUUUAGUGCAGGAAUGAAGCAUAAAAAGUCGCAUGGUUUACCCACAAGACUGUUGCUAUACAUUAUCAUAUUUUAUUACUAGUCAUAUUUUGACAUGCUGUGAUUAUCAAUUAUAAGUUUUAUUUCAGUUUCUUCUCUUAAAUACAUCAUGGAGUCAACAGUGUUUUGUGGGUUUUAGUUCUUAUCUGCUUUGAAGAAAUCUUUUUGUUAGUGUACUGCCUGAUCUAAAAAACACACACACAUAUAAUAUAUAUUAAUUAUUUAUUAUAGGAUUAUUUCAAAAGCACACACACACACACAGACAUAUCUUUUAUAUAUAUAAUAUAUAUACGGUUCUUUCUAGUUCUCAAAUCUGAUUGGCUGAGAGCUGUGCGAUAUUCUAGUGAUGACAGCACUCCUACCUUUUCACCGUUUGUAUCACUCCGCUAUAUCCACUGUAUUUUUUACAAAUACUACACUUUUUGUACCACAAACUGUAGUUUUAAGAGUUUUUUUGGGCGAGAAUGUAGUUGUUUAGACCUGAAAUAUGUGACUCAUAUUUAAUCAUAGCACCUAUAUUACAAUUUGUUUAGAUGUUUUCGGAGAUGCGAGCUCCAGGCCGGCAGCAGCCGUUCAGUGCUCGUGUACCCACCGAGAACAGCUUCAUCUCAGCCAGUGCUUCGGGGAUUUGCCGCUGGCUUUUAUAGUGGUUGAACACGAGAUAUAAUUCAUUUUGGGUACAUAAAACAGGCAAUCUUUGGUAUUUUUAAUCUAUUGCUUGUUCCUGAGCAAAUCGAAUUGAGCCAUGUUAAAUUUAAUAAUUUAAUAUUAAGUCUAUAUUUAACUUACAUCCUGUAGAGCACUGCUUUUGUACGUUUGACUGAAUUGUACAAUUGUGUUUAUUUCCUAUUGUCAUUUAUA